GACGAACGCUGGCGGCGUGCUUAACACAUGCAAGUCGAACGGAAAGGCCCUGCUUGCAGGGUGCUCGAGUGGCGAACGGGUGAGUAACACGUGGGUGAUCUGCCCCUUAUUUUGGGAUAAGCCUGGGAAACUGGGUCUAAUACUGGAUAGGACCAUGCUGUAGGUGGUGUGGUGGAAAGAUUAGUUUCGGUAAGGGAUGAGCUCGCGGCCUAUCAGCUUGUUGGUGGGGUAAUGGCCUACCAAGGCGUCGACGGGUAGCCGGCCUGAGAGGGUGGACGGCCACAUUGGGACUGAGAUACGGCCCAGACUCCUACAGGAGGCAGCAGUGGGGAAUAUUGCACAAUGGGCGCAAGCCUGAUGCAGCGACGCCGCGUGGGGGAUGACGGCCUUCGGGUUGUAAACUCCUUUCAGCCAUGACGAAGCCCUUGUGGUGACGGUAGUGGUAGAAGAAGCACCGGCUAACUACGUG
RNAcentral lists this ribosomal RNA (469 nucleotides) under uncultured bacterium. Its description in RNAcentral is "partial 16S ribosomal RNA". It matches the Rfam family "Bacterial small subunit ribosomal RNA", at positions 28 to 507 of the family's 1533-position model. The record is from RNAcentral.